CGAUAAGUCGAUCGAGUCAUGCGUUGACCGUAGGAGACCUACGCUCGAUAACGUUCUGUCGUACGGAAGGAAACAAGUAGCAGAGUACUGCCUGUACCCUCGCCGGGUAGCGUAGCAGAAAUGUCCAAGGGCUAGCUACGUGCAUGCAGCCCCUGUAAUAGGUAGGUGGCUAGCGUUGUUCUGGAACUUACUUGGGCGUACAGCGCGCGCAGGGUGGCUCCCUUAAGUCCUGAUGGUGAAAGCCCACGGCUCAAUCCGUGGAAGGGUCAUUGGAAUCUGGGGAACUUGAGUGCAGAAGAGGAAAGUGGAAUUUCCAAGUGUAGCGGUGAAAUGCGUAGAGAUUUGGAGGAACACCAGUGGCGAAGGCGACUUUCUGGUCUGUAACUGACACUGAGGCGCGAAAGCGUGGGGGAGCAAACACGAUUAGAUACCCUGGUAGUCCACGCCGUAAACGAUGAGUGCUAAGUGUUAGAGGGUUUCCGCCCUUUAGUGCUGCAGCUAACGCAUUAAGCACUCCGCCUGGGGAGUACGGCCGCAAGGCUGAAACUCAAAGGAAUUGACGGGGGCCCGCACAAGCGGUGGAGCAUGUGGUUUAAUUCGAAGCAACGCGAAGAACCUUACCAGGUCUUGACAUCCUCUGACAACCCUAGAGAUAGGGCUUUCCCCUUCGGGGGACAGAGUGACAGGUGGUGCAUGGUUGUCGUCAGCUCGUGUCGUGAGAUGUUGGGUUAAGUCCCGCAACGAGCGCAACCCUUGAUCUUAGUUGCCAGCAUUCAGUUGGGCACUCUAAGGUGACUGCCGGUGACAAACCGGAGGAAGGUGGGGAUGACGUCAAAUCAUCAUGCCCCUUAUGACCUGGGCUACACACGUGCUACAAUGGAUGGUACAAAGGGCUGCAAACCUGCGAAGGUAAGCGAAUCCCAUAAAGCCAUUCUCAGUUCGGAUUGCAGGCUGCAACUCGCCUGCAUGAAGCCGGAAUCGCUAGUAAUCGCGGAUCAGCAUGCCGCGGUGAAUACGUUCCCGGGCCUUGUACACACCGCCCGUCACACCACGAGAGUUUGUAACACCCGAAGUCGGUGAGGUAACCUUCAUGGAGCCAGCCGCCUAAGUGACCCAGUCU
Molecule: ribosomal RNA, 1120 nt
Filed under: Bacillus sp. (in: firmicutes)
Lineage: Bacteria; Bacillati; Bacillota; Bacilli; Caryophanales; Bacillaceae
Description: bacterial SSU rRNA
Rfam family: Bacterial small subunit ribosomal RNA
Source: RNAcentral